This is a long non-coding RNA of Syzygium oleosum, 1011 nucleotides long. RefSeq lists it as uncharacterized. The transcript has 2 exons. The record is from RefSeq and is a predicted model, not a curated record. NCBI's taxonomy places the organism in Eukaryota, Viridiplantae, Streptophyta, Magnoliopsida, Myrtales, Myrtaceae.
ACCCCUUUAUCCCUUCACUCCUCCUUGCGACUCCAUUAGGAAGAAGCAAAGCAUCAUCGCCAAAAAUCUGUGUAGAGAGAGAUAUGAAGACCAUGAUGAUGAUGAGAGACCACCAUCGGUUGAAGCUGCCAGCAUGAUCUCAACCUGCCUCUUUGACUUCAAUAAUUUGAGGAUGGAUCAGAUCAUGUGGCAUCUUCACCUGUUGCUGGCAUCUCCAGAAACCCUAGAGUCGCACAUGGCUCAGUUGAAGAAUUUGUGGCAGUUUUUCUAGGGUUUUGGUCAUUCAGAACCCUAGAUAGGAGAAAAAAAGUUUUCUAUGCAGUGUUGAUGGGUUUUUGAGGCACAAGAAUGUUUUUUUGGGUCUCGGGGCAGUCCGAUGAUGAUUUUGAGAUCUGUUUUCUAGGGCUUUGAUGAGUGAGCCCCCUUUUUUGGAGUUAGUUAACUUGCUUAUAUAUGCAUCUUCCUUCUCCGACUGUACUUGAUGAAUCUCAUCUCAUGUUAUGUUAUGACUCAGCUCCCGAGUUUUUUUUGCAGAUCUAAGCUUUUCACUUUCACUGGUUUCUGUUCUUUUGGUGAUAUAUGAACAGUUGAUUUAGGGUUUCUCGAGCUCAUAUCAGGUUUUUUAGCUUUUCAGAGAUAUACCAAUUUUCUGCUUACUCUUACCCAUACUCCCAACCUAUUAUGCAGAGGGUCAAUUUUUCAGUAAAUCUGACUCUGAAAUAAAGAGUAUGCUUCAGAAAAAGAGAGAUAUUACAUCUGUUUCAGUGCCUUCUUUGAAUUAAAACUUAUUUCGACAUGGCAAGAUAUAAUUUCUUGAUUUAAGAUCAGUAGAACAAUGAAAGAUGUCUUCAGUAGCUGGGUUUGUAAUUUGUUGCUUAGGAUUUUCUUCGAACGGAUUUUGAUACUCAUUGUAGACGAGUUUUGAUGUGUACUGGACAUGACAUGACAUUAGUGAAACAAAAUUAUGUGCACGUGAAACGAAGAAUGUUUUGGGCACCAUUUUCAUCUGUA